This 251-nucleotide ribosomal RNA is filed under the name uncultured bacterium. RNAcentral's name for it is "partial 16S ribosomal RNA". It matches the Rfam family "Bacterial small subunit ribosomal RNA", at positions 73 to 339 of the family's 1533-position model. The record is from RNAcentral.
UUAGCUUUCGGGCUAAAGUUAGUGGCGAACGGGUGAGUAAUGUAGGGGAAUCUACCUAGCAGUAAGGAAUAACUCUGGGAAACCAGUGCUAAUACCAUAUAUUACCGAUUUAUCGGGAAAGAUUUAUCGCUGUUAGAUGAGCCCCUAUCGGAUUAGCUUGUUGGUAGGGUAAUGGCCUACCAAGGCUAUGAUGGGUAGCUGGUCUGAGAGGAUGAUCAGCCACACUGGAACUGCGACACGGUCCAGACUCC